Molecule: ribosomal RNA, 505 nt
Filed under: uncultured bacterium
Lineage: Bacteria
Description: partial 16S ribosomal RNA
Rfam family: Bacterial small subunit ribosomal RNA
Source: RNAcentral
AACGAACGCUGGCGGCGUGGAUAAGACAUGCAAGUCGAACGGGACAUUUUUAGUAGUAAUAUUAGAGAUGUUCAGUGGCGAACGGGUGCGUAACACGUGGAUACAUUCCGGAAAGCGGGGGAUAGCCCAGGGAAACUUGGAUUAAUACCGCAUGUGGUCGAAAGACUAAAGACGGGGAUCGAAAGACCAGUCACUUUCAGAUUGGUCCGCGGCCUAUCAGCUAGUUGGCGGGGUAAAAGCCCACCAAGGCGACGACGGGUAGCUGGUCUUAGAGGACGACCAGCCACACUGGAACUGAGACACGGUCCAGACACCUACGGGUGGCAGCAGUCGAGAAUCUUUCACAAUGGGGGCAACCCUGAUGGAGCGACGCCGCGUGGAGGAUAAGGUCUUCGGAUUGUAAACUCCUGUCAUGCGAGAACAAGGUUGCAGGGCUAAUACCCGUGCAAAUUGAUGGUACCGCAAGAGGAAGAGACGGCUAACUCUGUGCCAGCAGCCGCCGUAA